UGGCUCAGACAGUAAAGCAUCUGCCUGCAAUGCAGGAGACCCAGGUUCGAUUCUUGG
Molecule: transfer RNA, 57 nt
Filed under: Bos taurus (domestic cattle)
Lineage: Eukaryota; Metazoa; Chordata; Mammalia; Artiodactyla; Bovidae
Also listed under: 4 other names
Rfam family: tRNA
About the family: Transfer RNA (tRNA) molecules are approximately 80 nucleotides in length.
Source: Rfam by way of RNAcentral